GCAUAUCAAUAAGCGGAGGAAAAGAAACCAACAGGGAUUGCCCUAGUAACGGCGAGUGAAGCGGCAACAGCUCAAAUUUGAAAGCUGGCCUUCGGGUCCGCAUUGUAAUUUGUAGAGGAUGCUUUGGGUGAAACGCCAGUCUAAGUUCCUUGGAACAGGACGUCAUAGAGGGUGAGAAUCCCGUAUGUGACUGGAAAUGUUAACCUAUGUAAAGCUCCUUCGACGAGUCGAGUUGUUUGGGAAUGCAGCUCUAAAUGGGAGGUAAAUUUCUUCUAAAGCUAAAUAUUGGCGAGAGACCGAUAGCGCACAAGUAGAGUGAUCGAAAGAUGAAAAGCACUUUGGAAAGAGAGUUAAAAAGCACGUGAAAUUGUUGAAAGGGAAGCGCUUGCAAUCAGACUUGUUUAAACUGUUCGGCCGGUCUUCUGACCGGUUUACUCAGUUUGGACAGGCCAGCAUCAGUUUCGGCGGCCGGAUAAAGGCUCUGGGAAUGUGGCCUUCACUUCGGUGAAGGUGUUAUAGCCCAGGGUGUAAUACGGCCAGCCGGGACUGAGGUCCGCGCUUCGGCUAGGAUGCUGGCGUAAUGGUUGUAAGCGACCCGUCUUGAAACACGGACCAAGGAGUCUAACAUCUAUGCGAGUGUUCGGGUGUCAAACCCCUGCGCGUAAUGAAAGUGAACGGAGGUGGGAACCGCAAGGUGCACCAUCGACCGAUCCUGAUGUCUUCGGAUGGAUUUGAGUAAGAGCAUAGCUGUUGGGACCCGAAAGAUGGUGAACUAUGCCUGAAUAGGGUGAAGCCAGAGGAAACUCUGGUGGAGGCUCGCAGCGGUUCUGACGUGCAAAUCGAUCGUCAAAUUUGGGUAUAGGGGCGAAAGACUAAUCGAACCAUCUAGUAGCUGGUUCCUGCC
Molecule: ribosomal RNA, 904 nt
Filed under: Aureobasidium melanogenum
Lineage: Eukaryota; Fungi; Ascomycota; Dothideomycetes; Dothideales; Saccotheciaceae
Description: LSU rRNA
Rfam family: Eukaryotic large subunit ribosomal RNA
Source: RNAcentral